This 413-nucleotide unclassified non-coding RNA is filed under the name soil metagenome. RNAcentral's name for it is "partial contains 5.8S ribosomal RNA, internal transcribed spacer 2, and large subunit ribosomal RNA". The stretch from base 1 to 120 matches the Rfam family "5.8S ribosomal RNA", at positions 35 to 154 of the family's 154-position model. The record is from RNAcentral.
GAUGAAGAACGAAGCGAAAUGCGAUAAGUAAUGUGAAUUGCAGAAUUCAGUGAAUCAUCGAAUCUUUGAACGCACCUUGCGCUCUUUGGUAUUCCGAAGAGCAUGCCUGUUUGAGUGUCAUGAAAAUAUCAACCUUGACUUGGGUUUUGUGCUCUAGUCUCGGCUUGGAAUUGGGUGCUUGCCGCUUUUACGAGCGGCUCACCUUAAAUGUAUUAGCUGGAUCUGUCUUUGAGACUUGGUUUGACUUGGCGUAAUAAGUAUUUCGCUAAGGACAUUCUUCGGAGUGGCCUCGUUUCUAGGACGCUUGUCCGCUUUCCAAUACAAGUUCCACCUCGUGGACAUGACUUUUUAUUAUCUGGCCUCAAAUCAGGUAGGACUACCCGCUGAACUUAAGCAUAUCAAUAAGCGGAGGA